CGAUGGAAGUGACUCUGUUGCAAUAUGUAUCAAGUCAUCCAAAGGUAUGAGAGCUUCAGGCCCAAGAGACUUGUCAUUUGGUACAGCUAUGGGUUGGCAAUUUUUGGAUAUGGUUUGCUUCCUUCGGAGCCAACUUUUAGUUUGGGUAUCUUUUGGGUUGGGCUUUGGUGGUAAGAUGGGUUUAGUUGUUUGGUUAUAGCCCGAUUCAGAAGGUGGUUUGGUCUUAAAGGAGAAAAACUCUUGAUGGUCUUGGGGAUGUUGUGAGGCUAGCCCGUUGGGGUUUGGUACCACUUGGGGAAAAAGGCACUUCUCUUUACCAGUGAAAGGAAAGGAGUUGUUGUCAGUGGUAAUGGAGGGUGGGUUCUGUUCACUCUCUGGGAAUUGGGUUUUCCUUGAGCCUUGAGCUGUCAAGACAUUAAAAGCUGUAGUUUGGAAGUGAUCCACCAAAUAGAGAUAUUUCUCGAAGAAGGCAGUAGUGUUGACAUGAUGAAUUCCCAAAGUAGCUAGGUAUUCCUGGAAGAACGCUAGCAUUUCAUCUCAAGGAAAGGCUCUGGCCGAAAGAUGAUAGGAGGAGCAAGUUUCGGCACAUCCUCCCAAGAUUUACAAAAAAUGGUACAGUUUGAAGCUUCCUUGCUUUUGCUAGAUCCCUCCAUCGUUGAUUUGCUUGAAAAGGUUUGUGGUUCAAGGGGUUGGCUUUAAGCCAAGGACCAUAUCCUGAUUUUGAGUUGAGGUAUUUCCGGCAAGAAGUUGGGGUUUAGGAUUUGGACAAUUCUUUAUCAAAUGCCCUAUGAUGCCACAACCAUAGCAAAUGUCAAGAAGUUUUUCAAUUUUGAAAUGGACCCAAUGCUUACUACCAUCUUUUUUUUUAUUUUGAAACCCCAUAGGAAAGGGUUUGUGUAGAGGUAUUGAAACUCGAAUUUGUAGCAUGUCCAAAUAUCCCAAGUUGCCUUCAUGAGUGAAAUCUGCUUCUUGAUACUUACCAAUGAGCUCACCAAUGAUCCUAGCAUUCUGCAUGUUAAUAUGGUUUGGUAGAAGGCCAUAUAUCUGGAUCCAAAAAGAAGGGUGUGUGAAAGUGAGUUCUUCCAGAGACUAAUCUGGUGGCCAUUCCCUUAUGGACAGAAGUUGAUUCUGUACUGACCAAGACCUAUUAUCAAGCAAAUACCUUGCAUCCACCUCAUGUGCAAAAGAGAAUAAAAAGAUAUUGUUUCUUUUUGCAGUUACUCGGAACCCCCUUCUGGUAUGCCAAGACUUGGACAAGGCUGCCUUAAUAGUGUUGAUACUAAUGCUUUUUUUCUAUAAUAAGUUUCCCCACCAAGAAGUAUUUUUGUUCUUGA
Hevea brasiliensis (rubber tree) is the source of this 1334-nucleotide long non-coding RNA. RefSeq lists it as uncharacterized. The record is from RefSeq and is a predicted model, not a curated record. The transcript has 2 exons. Lineage: Eukaryota; Viridiplantae; Streptophyta; Magnoliopsida; Malpighiales; Euphorbiaceae.